Poeciliopsis prolifica (blackstripe livebearer) is the source of this 416-nucleotide long non-coding RNA. RefSeq lists it as uncharacterized. The transcript is spliced from 3 exons. Lineage: Eukaryota; Metazoa; Chordata; Actinopteri; Cyprinodontiformes; Poeciliidae. The record is from RefSeq and is a predicted model, not a curated record.
UCUACCAUAAGGUUGAGAAAACAAUUGUGCUGGAUGAGCCAGACAUCAGGAUCGAGCUGCUGGGUGAAGCCAGAGUGAACCAGCCUGUGACUGUAGAGCUGACCUUGCUGAACCCUUUGCCAGAGCCGCUGCUGAACUGCAGCUUCGCCGUGGAAGGCAUCGGACUCACAGGCAGCAAACCCAUAACAGCAAAGGUUGAAACUGUGGGAGGAAAUAAAGAAGCGAAGGCCAGGAUUCAGUUUGAGCCCAGCGUUGCUGGCUACAGUGUGCUCCUGGUGAACUUUGACAGCGACAAACUGAAGAACGUCAAGAACUUCAUCGACGUUGUUGUGAAGGAAUGAUUUAAACCUCAGUUCUCAAGAACAACGGUGCAAGUACAUUAUACCUAUCAAUAAAACAGCAGAAAUGAGCAAUAA